ACUCCUACGGGAGGCAGCAGUGGGAAUAUUGCACAAUGGGCGCAAGCCUGAUGCAGCCAUGCCGCGUGUGUGAAGAAGGCCUUCGGGUUGUAAAGCACUUUCAGUCGUGAAGGAAUGUAAGNGUAGGUUAAUAGCCUGCAUUAUUUGACGUUAGCGACAGAAGAAGCACCGGCUAACUCCGUGCCAGCAGCCGCGGUAAUACGGAGGGUGCGAGCGUUAAUCGGAAUUACUGGGCGUAAAGCGC
Molecule: ribosomal RNA, 244 nt
Filed under: uncultured bacterium
Lineage: Bacteria
Description: partial 16S ribosomal RNA
Rfam family: Bacterial small subunit ribosomal RNA
Source: RNAcentral